AUACGGAGGAUCCGAGCGUUAUCCGGAUUUAUUGGGUUUAAAGGGAGCGCAGGCGGAGAUGCAAGCGUGACGUCAAAUUUCGGGGCUCAACCCCGUCUCGCGUCGCGAACUGCGUCCCUUGGUUGCGGGAAGGGGAGGCGGAACUCGUGGUGUAGCGGUGCAAUGCAUAGAUAUCUCGAAGAACUCCGAUCGCGAAGGCUGCCUUCCGGCCCGUCAACGACGCUCAUGCUCGAAGGUGCGGGUAUCAAACAGGAUUAGAUACCCUGGUAGUCCGCACAGUAAACGAUGGACACCCGGGGUUUGGCCUAUAUGGCUGAGCCGCCAAGCGAAAGCGUUAAGUGUCCCACCUGGGGAGUACGCCGGCAACGGUGAAACUCAAAGGAAUUGACGGGG
Molecule: ribosomal RNA, 393 nt
Filed under: uncultured bacterium
Lineage: Bacteria
Description: partial 16S ribosomal RNA
Rfam family: Bacterial small subunit ribosomal RNA
Source: RNAcentral